RNAcentral lists this ribosomal RNA (247 nucleotides) under uncultured archaeon. RNAcentral's name for it is "partial 16S ribosomal RNA". It matches the Rfam family "Archaeal small subunit ribosomal RNA", at positions 691 to 937 of the family's 1478-position model. The record is from RNAcentral.
CCGACGGUGAGGGACGAAAGCUGGGGGCACGAACCGGAUUAGAUACCCGGGUAGUCCCAGCCGUAAACGAUGCUCGCUAGGUGUCUGGGAUGGUGCGACCGUUACAGGUGCCGCAGGGAAGCCGUGAAGCGAGCCACCUGGGAAGUACGGCCGCAAGGCUGAAACUUAAAGGAAUUGGCGGGGGAGCACUACAACGGGUGGAGCCUGCGGUUUAAUUGGACUCAACGCCGGAAAACUCACCUGGGGC